RNAcentral lists this unclassified non-coding RNA (1108 nucleotides) under Sipha flava (yellow sugarcane aphid). RNAcentral's name for it is "survival of motor neuron-related-splicing factor 30, transcript variant X3". Lineage: Eukaryota; Metazoa; Arthropoda; Insecta; Hemiptera; Aphididae. The record is from RNAcentral.
CCUGUUGUUGACGUUUCCUUUUUUUUUCGUCAUAACAAAAAAAUCAAAUCAAAUCUCUUGAUAAAUGUUGAACAAUAGAACGUACUCCGCGUGAAAUGUGACUAUAGUGAAAUUGUAUUUACUUACAGCCCGUGUCCGCGGUGUACUUUCAUUGAUAUCUUAAAAUCGAUUACAUUGCACCUUAACUAACGACGUACAGGUAAUACAACCAAUAACACACUUUGCUCGUAACCUAUAAAUUGUCUAUUGUAUAUUUCAUCGACGAAUUUUUAAUUUGAAAUAAAACAAACAAAUGGCGGACGAGCUCAUCAACUACAAACUGCAGCUGCAGCAGGUAGAAGCUGCGUUAACCAAUAGUCCUGAUGAUCCAGAACUUAUGAAACUAAAAACUGAUUUAGAAGAAGUAAUUGAACUUACUGCUGAACUAGUAAGAACGCAAACUCAACCUAAAAAAGAAACUGUUCAAAUAAAAAAAGAAUCAUCAUAUCAACCUGAUAUACUACCAUCUGUUACAAAGACGAAAGGUGAAUGGAAAUCAGGAGACAGAUGUUUAGCACAACUUGCUGAUGAUGGCAAAUUUUAUGAAGGUACUAUUGAAACUAUUGAUGGAGAAGCUGUAGCAGUUUUAAUAGAUGGACAAAAAACUGCUGCAGUUACCACUAUGGAUUAUAUUAAAGAUUUGCCUAGAACUCAUCCUAAUGAAAUGAAACAUAAAAAGCAACCUGUUGCUAAAUAUAGAGAAUAUCAAAAAAAAAGAAAACUUGCUAAACAGCAGAGAUUUAAACAAUUAGAAGAAGAAAGAGAAGUUGAGAAAAAUAAAUGGCUUGCGUUUGCUACUAAAGGUGAACCUUGGUACAUACAAGUAAUAGGCAUGAUUUUUAUCACAACACCAAUUAAAUCUUACUCAUUGUAUAAAUAACGUUAACAGCAAAUAUCCCAAUGCUGAUUGAAUUAUGAGACAAUUUAAAUUAGUUUAUUGAAUGACACCAAUCAGUGGUGUCUACACUAUUGACGUCGGUGUAAAAAAAGGCAUACCGAAAAAGAGUAUAUUUGCUUCUCCCGAUAAUGUUAAUGGAAGAGUUGGUAUUGGUACCUGUGGCUUAGGAGG